RNAcentral lists this ribosomal RNA (442 nucleotides) under uncultured bacterium. Its description in RNAcentral is "partial 16S ribosomal RNA". It matches the Rfam family "Bacterial small subunit ribosomal RNA", at positions 338 to 795 of the family's 1533-position model. The record is from RNAcentral.
CCUACGUGAGGCUGCAGUGGGGAAUAUUGGGCAAUGGGCGCAAGCCUGACCCAGCAACGCCGCGUGAAGGAAGAAGGCUUUCGGGUUGUAAACUUCUUUUAAGGGGGAAGAGCAGAAGACGGUACCCCUUGAAUAAGCCACGGCUAACUACGUGCCAGCAGCCGCGGUAAUACGUAGGUGGCAAGCGUUGUCCGGAUUUACUGGGUGUAAAGGGCGUGCAGCCGGAGAGACAAGUCAGAUGUGAAAUCCACGGGCUCAACCCGUGAACUGCAUUUGAAACUGUUUCCCUUGAGUGUCGGAGAGGUAAUCGGAAUUCCUUGUGUAGCGGUGAAAUGCGUAGAUAUAUGGAAGAACACCAGUGGCGAAGGCGGCUCUCUGGUCUGCAACUGACGCUGAGGCUCGAAAGCAUGGGUAGCGAACAGGAUUAGAUACCCGAGUAGUC